GACGCAGGGCGCGAGCGUUGUCCGGAUUUAUUGGGCGUAAAGAGCUCGUAGGCGGCUUGUCGCGUCGUCCGUGAAAACCUGCAGCUCAACUGCAGGCUUGCGGUCGAUACGGGCAGGCUAGAGUUCGGUAGGGGAGACUGGAAUUCCUGGUGUAGCGGUGAAAUGCGCAGAUAUCAGGAGGAACACCGGUGGCGAAGGCGGCAUCCUGGACCAUUACUGACGCUGAGGCGCGAAAGCUAGGGGAGCAAACGGG
Molecule: ribosomal RNA, 253 nt
Filed under: uncultured bacterium
Lineage: Bacteria
Description: partial 16S ribosomal RNA
Rfam family: Bacterial small subunit ribosomal RNA
Source: RNAcentral